AAAACCCUGCCCUUUAGCUGUUAGGUGUACAGUUUUCCAUAUUGGCUACUGGAGGCUGCGUCACCAGGCCUGUGCUUUAAUAAAUAAUUUUUUCCUUUCCAAAUUAUUCUCUCUGGCUCCUUCAUACCUCAGGAAGUGGGGAACCACCACAUUUGAGGGCUCGUCCGGGAUGGAAUAACAACCCACCGACUCAAUUCCUGAGGACUGAUUCACGAAGAGCAAAGAACCACAGCAAGCAACAACGGGUCAGUCUGGUGCAAAACCUGCUCCCACGCCCCUUAGUCUUGUCUUGGAUCACUUUAAAGAAUUUAAGAGGGUGAAAAGGCAUCUUGGACCCAGAUGAGACCCCCCACGGCUGAUCCAGAAUGACUAGAGCACUUGUUUCCUUUAUCUCGGCCCAACUGGAACCCCAACACAUCUGGAGGUAAGGAGGCUCUGACCCAAUAUCGCCAACUGCUUCUAGUGG
Molecule: long non-coding RNA, 466 nt
Organism: Cavia porcellus (domestic guinea pig)
Lineage: Eukaryota; Metazoa; Chordata; Mammalia; Rodentia; Caviidae
Exons: 3
Source: RefSeq, a predicted model, not a curated record